CGGACGGGUGAGUAAUGUCUGGGAAACUGCCUGAUGGAGGGGGAUAACUACUGGAAACGGUAGCUAAUACCGCAUAACGUCGCAAGACCAAGAGGGGACCGUUCGGGCCUCUUGCCACCGGAUGUGCCCAGAUGGGAUUAGCUAGUAGGUGGGGUAACGGCUCACCUAGGCGACGAUCCCUAGCUGGUCUGAGAGGAUGACCAGCCACACUGGAACUGAGACACGGUCCAG
Molecule: ribosomal RNA, 231 nt
Filed under: uncultured bacterium
Lineage: Bacteria
Description: partial 16S ribosomal RNA
Rfam family: Bacterial small subunit ribosomal RNA
Source: RNAcentral